Non-coding RNA from Lolium perenne, 967 nucleotides. Lineage: Eukaryota; Viridiplantae; Streptophyta; Magnoliopsida; Poales; Poaceae. The record is from RefSeq and is a predicted model, not a curated record.
UGUCAUCCACUUCCGUGUUGACGCCGUCCCUGCAUGAACUGUGCGCUUCACCACCGACCCAUGAUCUAUCCUUAUCCCCUCUUACCAGUUCAUCCUCACCACCGUUCCGAUCUCCGAUCGGUUCCGGCUGCAGCCUCCACCACAUUAGACCUUAGAUCUAGACUCCCCACAAUCUCCCCAGUUCACCUGCAGUUUUGUGCAGCCGCCAUCUGAAACACAGCCGCUACCUAACCCUAGAUUGCUAACCAUUUGAUAGCGCAGAAGCUCCCGCAGCCGCUGGGCCGCUUUGACCGCCUUCCUUGAGUUUUCAUGCAUCGGAGCCAGGUCCAUGACCCAUGUUGAGGUCUUUACCAACGUUCAUUCUGCUGGGUGGGGAGCGAAGUCCUUGGCGUUUACAGGUUUUGGUGAGCUUCGUCUCUUUCUCGUCUCUGUCCUGUGCCCAUGCUGGUGUAUUUUUGCAGUGAUGCGUUUGAUGUUUCUUUUACUGCGGUGGAUGUACACAGGAAAUGAACAAAAUUGAGCCUGGAACCUGGAUGAUUCGUCGAGGACGAGCUGACACCUAUGACUAGGAUCGGAACCUAGAAAGCAAUUAUGUGGCGAGGUCUGGUGGGUGAGGAUUUGCAAGGUGCACUCAUUGUUUCCUUUUACUGCAGGUGGCUGUUGUCACGAACACCACACAAGUGGGGAAUAAGCACUUCGUCAGGGAAAACGUACAGCCAUACAGGACAAAAAUUAUGUUGAGUACAAGACCAGAAGACCAGGAAGGACUUACAAUAUUUGGAUAUAAGCUAUGAACAUAUCUGAAGUCAGAAUAUUAGUAGAAUUAUAUAUAGGAGUCGUUAGAUUGUCAUAUUUUGAAUCAAGAUUGUAAGCUGUGUGUACUCUUCGGAUAAGUCUCAUGUAUUUUGAUAGUAGUUCGAAUAAUAUAAAUUGAAUCGUUUUGUCACCUAAUUCAUUUUUUAUUCUA